This 528-nucleotide non-coding RNA is filed under the name Pongo abelii (Sumatran orangutan). Lineage: Eukaryota; Metazoa; Chordata; Mammalia; Primates; Hominidae. The record is from RNAcentral.
GGAGCGCCUCUGACUGACUUCCCCCAUGUGUCCGUGUGGCCACACCGUGCUACUUUCAGAGGCAGUGGGCUUUUCGCUAAGCGAUAAAAAGAAGUAAAACCUUGCCUUUAGCGCAGCUCUCCAUCACUGGGCAGAUUGCUCUCCCUCCCCACUCUCCCAGGCCCAAAUUGGAUCUCAGCGCCUGGGAGCUCCAACUGCAGCAAGUGCAAAAUCCUGUCUUCGGUUUUGGAAUUUUCAUCCGCACAGACUAUAUCAGCCACGGAUAGGAUACGUGAGAAUACUAGCAUGUCAAAGCUGGGAAUCAUCCUUAGGCAUCACCUAGCCAGUCCUGCCUCUCAUUUUAAGGUGAUCACAGGAUCUGGUUUGCCACUGAAAGGAAUCUUGAUGCUGACCACUUCACCUCGGAGAGCAUGAACUGCUCCCAUGCCUUCAAGAGUUUUAGAGAAUAGACACCUUGAUGGCUCCUCUGGCAGUUCUUGAUGACCAUGGAUGAGCUAAUGGCUGUGGUCUCAAUGGUGGCUUCUUGAG